UUUUGGGUCUCCUAUCAUCAU
RNAcentral lists this unclassified non-coding RNA (21 nucleotides) under Mus musculus (house mouse). RNAcentral describes it as "oocyte_clustered_small_RNA13225". The record is from RNAcentral. Lineage: Eukaryota; Metazoa; Chordata; Mammalia; Rodentia; Muridae.